UAGUUAAAGCCAAAUAGAGGCACUCUGUUGUUACCAGAGAAAAUGGCAGUACGCCUAACUAG
Molecule: transfer RNA, 62 nt
Filed under: Penenirmus auritus
Lineage: Eukaryota; Metazoa; Arthropoda; Insecta; Psocodea; Philopteridae
Description: tRNA-Asn
Source: RNAcentral